RNAcentral lists this unclassified non-coding RNA (328 nucleotides) under soil metagenome. RNAcentral describes it as "partial contains 5.8S ribosomal RNA, internal transcribed spacer 2, and large subunit ribosomal RNA". The stretch from base 1 to 119 matches the Rfam family "5.8S ribosomal RNA", at positions 35 to 154 of the family's 154-position model. The record is from RNAcentral.
GAUGAAGAACGUAGCGAAAUGCGAUAAGUAAUGUGAAUUGCAGAAUUCAGUGAAUCAUCGAAUCUUUGAACGCACAUUGCGCCCCCUGGUAUUCCGGGGUCAUGCCUGUCCGAGCGUCAUUACAACCCUCAAGCUCAGCUUGGUGUUGGGCCCCGCCGCCCCGGCGGGCCCUAAAGUCAGUGGCGGUGCCGUCCGGCUCCGAGCGUAGUAAUUCUUCUCGCUCUGGAGGUCCGGUCGUGUGCUCGCCAGCAACCCCCAAUUUUUUUCAGGUUGACCUCGGAUCAGGUAGGGAUACCCGCUGAACUUAAGCAUAUCAAUAAGCGGAGGA